CCCGCUGAACUUAAGCAUAUCAAUAAGCGGAGGAAAAGAAACUAACAAGGAUUCCCCUAGUAACUGCGAGUGAAGCGGGAAAAGCUCAAAUUUAAAAUCUGGCGGUCUCUGGCCGUCCGAGUUGUAAUUUAGAGAAGCGCUAUCCGCGUCGGACCGUGUACAAGUCUCCUGGAACGGAGCGUCAUAGAGGGUGAGAAUCCCGUCUUUGACACGGACUCCCGAUGCUAUGUGAUGCGCUCUCGAAGAGUCGAGUUGUUUGGGAAUGCAGCUCAAAAUGGGUGGUGAAUUCCAUCUAAAGCUAAAUAUUGGCGAGAGACCGAUAGCGAACAAGUACCGUGAGGGAAAGAUGAAAAGCACUUUGGAAAGAGAGUGAAACAGUACGUGAAAUUGUUGAAAGGGAAACGCUUGAAGUCAGUCGCGUCUUCCGAGACUCAGCCUUGCUCUUGCCUGGUGUAUUUCUCGGUAGACGGGCCAGCAUCGAUUUUGACCCUUGGAUAAUGGCGGGGGAAAGGUGGCACCCUUCGGGGUGUGUUAUAGUCCUCUGUCGCAUACAAGGGCUGGGAUCGAGGAAUUCAGUGCGCCCUGAAAGGGGUCGGGGCUUCGGCUCACGUUCGCUCUUAGGAUGCUGGCGUAAUGGCUUUAAACGACCCGUCUUGAAACACGG
RNAcentral lists this ribosomal RNA (664 nucleotides) under uncultured fungus. Its description in RNAcentral is "eukaryotic LSU rRNA". It matches the Rfam family "Eukaryotic large subunit ribosomal RNA", at positions 24 to 664 of the family's 3401-position model. Lineage: Eukaryota; Fungi. The record is from RNAcentral.